AAGCCCAGAGGAUUCAACCGGCUAGAGUGUAGUGAACGCGCCUGCGCAUCRAACGGCCAGAGUAAGAUUGGGUAGUCUACUGGAAGACAGUAGGCCCUGCCGCAAGGUGGGGAUGUGUGCACCGGGCGGAGGCCGGAACACGCUAUCCGUCUAUGGGCUGCCUAGCCGGUGCACUUUCUCUGUGGUGAACACCACGACCGGUGGAACUGCCAGUCUGUCAUAGUCAAGUCGUAGUGGGCGGGCUUUCGGGUCUGCCUGCUGUGAUCACGGGCGUACUUGGUAAACGGCGUUAGUGCAUCUUUACGGUGUGCCGACGUGUUAUCGGCUACUAGUCGCUUUAUCGGGCCUGCUUAAUGCACGUUAUAGCCGUGUGUUUUGUGGUCUGGUGGACUUUGAUGGUAAUAAUAACUGUGCAGGGCACCGGAGUUUUCGGCCUCAAAUGCAGUCUGCAUGCGUGCUAUGAAUGUGUUUGUGSGUGUCGUCGCGAGCUGGCUGUUGUUGGAUUUGAUUGUCGUGUUGCCUGCAAAAAG
Molecule: ribosomal RNA, 530 nt
Filed under: Pseudanthobothrium purtoni
Lineage: Eukaryota; Metazoa; Platyhelminthes; Cestoda; Rhinebothriidea; Echeneibothriidae
Description: partial large subunit ribosomal RNA
Source: RNAcentral